AAGGCUUUAAGUUAAACUAAACUAAUAGCCUUCAAAGCUAUAAAUAUUGGAAUAAAAAUCUUUUAAGCUUUA
RNAcentral lists this transfer RNA (72 nucleotides) under Acidiella didymera. RNAcentral describes it as "tRNA-Trp". It matches the Rfam family "tRNA". From Rfam's summary of the family: Transfer RNA (tRNA) molecules are approximately 80 nucleotides in length. Their secondary structure includes four short double-helical elements and three loops (D, anti-codon, and T loops). Further hydrogen bonds mediate the characteristic L-shaped molecular structure. tRNAs have two regions of fundamental functional importance: the anti-codon, which is responsible for specific mRNA codon recognition, and the 3' end, to which the tRNAs corresponding amino acid is attached (by aminoacyl-tRNA synthetases). tRNAs cope with the degeneracy of the genetic code in two manners: having more than one tRNA (with a specific anti-codon) for a particular amino acid; and 'wobble' base-pairing, i.e. permitting non-standard base-pairing at the 3rd anti-codon position. The record is from RNAcentral. Lineage: Eukaryota; Metazoa; Arthropoda; Insecta; Diptera; Tephritidae.